AUUGAACGCUGGCGGAAUGCUUUACACAUGCAAGUCGAACGGCAGCACGGGUGCUUGCACCUGGUGGCGAGUGGCGAACGGGUGAGUAAUGCACCGGAACGUAUCCAAUAAUGGGGGAUAACGCACCGAAAGGUGUGCUAAUACCGACAUACGCCCUGAGGGGGAAAGCGGGGGAUCGUAAGACCUCGCGUUAAUGGAGCGGCCGAUGCCGGAUUAGCUAGUUGGUGAGGUAAAGGCUCACCAAGGCGACGAUCCGUAGCUGGUCUGAGAGGACGACCAGCCACACUGGAACUGAGACACGGUCCAGACUCCUACGGGAGGCAGCAGUGGGGAAUUUUGGACAAUGGGCGCAAGCCUGAUCCAGCCAUUCCGCGUGAGUGAAGAAGGCCUGGUUGUUAAAGGCUCUUUCGUC
RNAcentral lists this ribosomal RNA (412 nucleotides) under uncultured bacterium. Its description in RNAcentral is "bacterial SSU rRNA". It matches the Rfam family "Bacterial small subunit ribosomal RNA", at positions 30 to 440 of the family's 1533-position model. The record is from RNAcentral.